UAAUACCCUAUAGGUUACAGAUGCUGGAAUGCUCUGUAACUCAAAGUUCCGGCGCCUUAGGAUGGAUCUGCGGCCGAUUAGGUUGUUGUUGGGGUAAUGGCCCAACAAGCCAGUAAUCGGUACGGGUUGUGGGAGCAAGAGCCCGGAGUUGGAUUCUGAGACACGAAUCCAGGCCCUACGGGGCGCAGCAGGCGCGAAAACUUUACAAUGCGGGCAACCGUGAUAAGGGAACCUCGAGUGCCUGUAUAUGCAGGCUGUCCAGGUGUCUAAAGCACACCUGAAGAAAGGGCCGGGCAAGACCGGUGCCAGCCGCCGCGGUAAUACCGGCGGCUCGAGUGGUGGCCACUUUUAUUGGGCUUAAAGCGUUCGUAGCUGGGUUAUUAAGUCCCUUGGGAAAUCCGACAGCUUAACUGUCGGGCGUCUAAGAGAUACUGGUAAUCUUGGAACCGGGAGAGGUGAGGGGUACUUCGGGGGUAGGAGUGAAAUCCUGUAAUCCUCGAGGGACCACCUGUGGCGAAGGCGCCUCACCAGAACGGCUUCGACAGUGAGGGACGAAAGCUGGGGGAGCAAACCGGAUUAGAUACCCGGGUAGUCCCAGCCGUAAACGAUGUGCGUUAGGUGU
RNAcentral lists this ribosomal RNA (622 nucleotides) under uncultured archaeon. RNAcentral's name for it is "bacterial SSU rRNA". It matches the Rfam family "Archaeal small subunit ribosomal RNA", at positions 147 to 774 of the family's 1478-position model. The record is from RNAcentral.